This is a non-coding RNA of Mycena galericulata, 77 nucleotides long. NCBI's taxonomy places the organism in Eukaryota, Fungi, Basidiomycota, Agaricomycetes, Agaricales, Mycenaceae. The record is from the annotation of a GenBank genome assembly.
GUCAUGAUAGUGUAGUUGGUACUAUGCCUUCUAACAAUGUCUGUUGGUGGUUGCUGGUUCGAACCCGGCUUGGGACC